CUUAGCUUCCAGCUUGAAUAUACAGCCUUCAGCAGUUGCAUAAAUAAUACUCAAAGUUAUAGCAUUAAAAUUGCUUUCAGUUUUGGUGUAACCACUGCACAGUGCUUUUCAACAAGCUGAGCUUUCUUAGAUUUUGUCAUUGUUAUUCAUCAUACUCAGCCUGUGUCUGCUCAUGUCUAUAAACGAAGGCCAUCUUCAUGUGAUGAUUUGAUUGUAAUAGCAGGGUGGGCACUUCCCCACAAAACAGUGAAAUCAUCGUUGAUCCCCAUUACCAAAGACAUGAUGCUCCAGGACUGACUCGAUUUUUAAUCCAAAGGAUGGCUGGGCUCUUCUCAAGGAGCCUUGCUCUAGCUUCCCUGGGCUCUGAGGAAUGCCCAGCUACAUCAACCUUCAUAUUUCUCUGCAAGACACAGGAGUAUCCCAGAGAAGCUCCAAUAUCCUCAGAACAAAAGGUCUCUUAGACAUGGAUUUUCUUCCUCCUCUGCCAUUCCUGAGACAGCGAGACCAACCCCUCCUCUUCUUCCAUCUCAGCCUACUCAACUUGAAGAUGACAAGGAUGAAGACCUUUAUGAUGGUUCUACUUCCGCUUAAUGAAUAGUCUCGGGUGGGGCCUCUUCCUAACAAGCCUCCUAACGAUAUUAACACUGCUGCCAUGGAGGAGAAGUUAGUGGCUGGACACACUGAAAGACACCAUUUAAAACUGCAAAGCAAGAUUUCUCUGUAAGAUUGCAUGGAAAGGCUCUCUGUAAUGAGACACUGAAAACUCAGCGAGACCCUGACUGGAAUAUUAAAAAGAGGCCCUCCUCACUGUGUUUGACUCAUUGCUACUGUUACUGGAAAGAGGCCCGAAUUCAGACCCCAAAACAGGGCUCUUGGAUCUCGUGCAAGAAAAAAUUGGGGUUAAUGUCCCAUGGUCUUUGUUAGGC
This 926-nucleotide long non-coding RNA is filed under the name Homo sapiens (human). RNAcentral's name for it is "HSALNT0279872". The record is from RNAcentral. Lineage: Eukaryota; Metazoa; Chordata; Mammalia; Primates; Hominidae.